CAGAAAGAACUCGGGAGGUAGGGAAA
Molecule: non-coding RNA, 26 nt
Filed under: Cricetulus griseus (Chinese hamster)
Lineage: Eukaryota; Metazoa; Chordata; Mammalia; Rodentia; Cricetidae
Source: RNAcentral